Molecule: long non-coding RNA, 2687 nt
Filed under: Marmota monax (woodchuck)
Lineage: Eukaryota; Metazoa; Chordata; Mammalia; Rodentia; Sciuridae
Source: RNAcentral
GAGCUACAUCCCCAGCUCUUUUUAAAAAAUUAAUUAACUAGUUAAUUAAUUAAUUUAUAGUCAUGGUCUUGCUAAAUUGCCCAGGAUGGCCUUGAAUUUUCAAUCUUCCUGACUCAGCCUUCUGAGUAAGGUGGGAUUACACAUGCGCUAACAUGCCCAGCAAGUAGGACAACUUUCACAACUCACAAAUCCUGGGAGAGAUGCUCAACAAAGAGAAAUAAGGUGAUCUGGGAGGUAUGGUAUGUCCAUUCAAAGACAUCACCUUAUCUACAGCAAACAUGUGAGUAGUGCUACCCACUGGUGGUAUCCUAGACAUACAUACUUAAAGGUCUGGGUUGCUCCUCCCAGGGCCUACACUUGGACUGCAGGUGGGGAGCAGGAUGGGUAACAAUGGACAGAGUGGUCUAAGUGCAGGUCUCCUGGGUUUUGCAAAAUCCAGUUAGAAGGAUCUCUAUUCUUGCUGUCCAUUUCUAUUCAACUAAGGUUCCAGUUAAGACAUGGCAGCAAUGUAAACAUGCAACCUAAGCAUGAGGUUUUGGACAGUUAAGCCUGAACAAGGAAUAAGGCAACUGAACUGUGAUAUUCAGGCCAGGGUAAUCCAACUGCAACUAUCCAGGCUUGGCCUGGCUCUCAGGAGACUCAUUCUGGCCUGAACCUCCUGGUAAUCAUGACCACGAUUUUCUGGCUUCUGAUUUUAAGUAAAUGCUUUGAAGAUAUAAAUUUGGGAGUUAAAACAGGAUUACCCUUUUCAAGUCUCCAUGACUUGGGCACUUAAAAAAGUUUACUUUCACACUAAGGAAGCCUUAUCAUAGAUUCUCUUUCACUGUUGAUCAUAUUCACUCCUAUGAUUAAAGGAUGAAAAUUAACAGAUUUGAUUAUAGAUCCUCUUUAGGAUAUUCUCUCUUUACCCUCUCUCAUAAUAUUAUACAAACUCGAAAGCAUUAUUUAAAUUCAAAUGUCUACUACAAUGAGAAUCCCUUGAUUCGUCUGUUUACUAAAGCCCACUGAGACUACAUUUGGGAUGUGAUCAAAUCUUCUGGUGCAUUCAUUUUAUAAGAAUAGUCAUGUGGUUCCUUGGACACCAUCUCGGAUGUCAGCAACAUUCCUUAUCUUGCUAUAAUUUGGAUCUUACUAGAACUUUCUCUUUCCUAGAUGACAGCUUGAGCAAUUUAUUUUUGGUUGCUGAAUUUACACACUAUCUUUGAAAACAAACUCUUCCUAAUUGAGUAAGAAAACUUAUAAGCUUCCCUGAAUUCUGCACAAUUCACACAUAAAACUAGGUAGAUAGCAACAUAAGACACUAAAUCGAGAAGCAGAAACACUUUCCAGGAAGCAUGUUCAGAUUAACAUAAGCCAAUCAAACAAAGUAUUCUUUUUUGCUAAAAAAAACUACGACCAAACUAAAACAAGAAUGUAAUUCACAAGUAAUUUCCUAAAAUUUCUGCUAGGAAAAAAAAAAAAAAUCUAUGGACUUAUGAUUGAGUUAUCAUUAAAGCUUAAAUGAUUGUUCCCGAGGAACCAUCACAUCUGUCAGCAUUAUUGACAGCUAAUCCUUAUGCUAGCUGGUUGAGCCAUUUGGGUUUUUACCCCAUCAUUAAAUAGUGCUCAGAAAAGUAAGCAGUGCAUCUUAAUUGGUUAAAUACUACAAAAUGACCUGUAUCAUAGAAACAAAGACACUUUCAUUCAAAAAAUAUCUUAAAAUUACUAUUGCUGAAAUAAAUCAAAAUCUACAUUAAAAUAUUACUAAACACCAUUACAUGCCAUAAAAGAAUAAAUAUAAAUCAUGGCAGAUCAAUAGCAGCAUAACAAAGCAUCUUUACAUAUUUUCACACUUUGGGCUGGAAAAGUUCUCACAGCCAAGGAAUACAUUGGUAAAGUUCUGAAUCUCACACUUUCUUUUUAACUCCAUAGUCUACAAUAAAGUAAGGGCCGUGUGAAUAACAGCUCCCUUUUCUGCAUAGUUUUAAAACUGUUCUCAGUACACUUGAGGAAUGGAACCAGAAUGGCUUUGUCAGAUUGGUCCACUGGUCCUUUUAUCAAAGUGUUAAAGAAAAUAAUCAACAAUGACUUCUGUGUUUUGACAGAAAAGGAGAAUAAGGCUGUGUUUCACACACGAACUGAACAUUUUCAGAACCACCGGAAUUUAACUUAAAAUGAAGAUUUCUAGUAGGAUAUGGGCAUUCCCAGCUCUCGCCCCUGCUUUGAAGGUGUGACACGCUCCCUCCCACAUCACCACAGAGCCUAGUAGGGCCCUAUUAAAAAGGCAAUGCUGCACUGGAGCCUGUUGCAUGGCAGGACUGGGGACACUUAAAACAAAACACAAAGGAAUUUCAGAACUUUUAAGGCCCAAAUGGGGCACGCAUAUAAAAUAUACUUCACUUGAACAAAUAAUUCCUAAUUUAUCAACUUAAACUGUGAUUCUUAAAACUUGAAGCUACUUUGUGGAGCUGACCUACUUUGUUCAGAACUCGACUAUCAGCUUAAUGCCCAAGUUUCUUAGGGGCAGGGGUGUGGGGAGGUGUGGGCUAGGCUGAGUUCUGUGGCAAGGCUGGUGGCUACUCCUCCCUAAGUCUUGAAAGAGAAAGCAAGCUGAAUAUCAGACCCCUCUGUUCACAUACUUGCUUACAGCUGAUGAAAACAAGCAUAUAACUUACACAAUGGUCUUUUUUUUUUGUUUUGUUUUGUUU